This 408-nucleotide ribosomal RNA is filed under the name uncultured bacterium. Its description in RNAcentral is "partial 16S ribosomal RNA". It matches the Rfam family "Bacterial small subunit ribosomal RNA", at positions 28 to 526 of the family's 1533-position model. The record is from RNAcentral.
GACGAACGCUGGCGGCGUGCUUAACACAUGCAAGUCGAACGAAGUGGCGAACGGGUGAGUAACGCGUAAUCAACCUGCCCUUCAGAGGGGGACAACAGUUGGAAACGACUGCUAAUACCGCAUACUGAAGGAGGGGAUUGCGUCUGCUUAGCUAGUUGGAGGGGUAACGGCCCACCAAGGCGAUGAUCAGUAGGCGGUUCGAGGGGAGGGACGGGCCCAAUGGGACCGAGGCCCGGCCCCGACUUCCUCGGGAAGGCGCCGUGGGGAAUCUUCCGCAAUGGACGAAAGUCUGACGGAGCAACGCCGCGUGAGUGAUGACGGCCUUCGGGUUGUAAAGCUCUGUUAAUCGGGACGCGGUACCGGAAUAGAAAGCCACGGCUAACUACGUGCCAGCAGCCGCGGUAAUAC